AGUGGAUUAGCGGCGGACGGGUGAGUAACACGUGGGUAACCUGCCUCAAAGUGGGGGAUAGCCUUCCGAAAGGAAGAUUAAUACCGCAUAAUAUAAGAGAAUCGCAUGAUUUUCUUAUCAAAGAUUUAUUGCUUUGAGAUGGACCCGCGGCGCAUUAGCUAGUUGGUAAGGUAACGGCUUACCAAGGCAACGAUGCGUAGCCGACCUGAGAGGGUGAUCGGCCACAUUGGAACUGAGACACGGUCCAGACUCCUACGGGAGGCAGCAGUGGGGAAUAUUGCGCAAUGGGGGAAACCCUGACGCAGCAACGCCGCGUGGGUGAUGAAGGUCUUCGGAUUGUAAAGCCCUGUUUUCUAGGACGAUAAUGACGGUACUAGAGGAGGAAGCCACGGCUAACUACGUGCCAGCAGCCGCGGUAAUACGUAGGUGGCGAGCGUUGUCCGGAUUUACUGGGCGUAAAGGGUGCGUAGGCGGAUGUUUAAGUGGGAUGUGAAAUCCCCGGGCUUAACCUGGGGGCUGCAUUCCAAACUGGAUAUCUAGAGUGCAGGAGAGGAAAGCGGAAUUCCUAGUGUAGCGGUGAAAUGCGUAGAGAUUAGGAAGAACACCAGUGGCGAAGGCGGCUUUCUGGACUGUAACUGACGCUGAGGCACGAAAGCGUGGGUAGCAAACAGGAUUAGAUACCCUGGUAGUCCACGCCGUAAACGAUGGAUACUAGGUGUAGGGGGUAUCAACUCCCCCUGUGCCGCAGUUAACACAAUAAGUAUCCCGCCUGGGGAGUACGGUCGCAAGAUUAAAACUCAAAGGAAUUGACGGGGGCCCGCACAAGCAGCGGAGCAUGUGGUUUAAUUCGAAGCAACGCGAAGAACCUUACCUGGACUUGACAUCCCUUGCAUAGCCUAGAGAUAGGUGAAGCCCUUCGGGGCAAGGAGACAGGUGGUGCAUGGUUGUCGUCAGCUCGUGUCGUGAGAUGUUAGGUUAAGUCCUGCAACGAGCGCAACCCUUGUUAUUAGUUGCUACCAUUAAGUUGAGCACUCUAAUGAGACUGCCUGGGUAACCAGGAGGAAGGUGGGGAUGACGUCAAAUCAUCAUGCCCCUUAUGUCCAGGGCUACACACGUGCUACAAUGGUAGGUACAAUAAGACGCAAGACCGUGAGGUGGAGCAAAACUUAUAAAACCUAUCUCAGUUCGGAUUGUAGGCUGCAACUCGCCUACAUGAAGCUGGAGUUGCUAGUAAUCGCGAAUCAGAAUGUCGCGGUGAAUACGUUCCCGGGCCUUGUACACACCGCCCGUCACACCAUGAGAGCUGGUAACACCCGAAGUCCGUGAGGUAACC
Molecule: ribosomal RNA, 1333 nt
Filed under: Clostridium botulinum
Lineage: Bacteria; Bacillati; Bacillota; Clostridia; Eubacteriales; Clostridiaceae
Description: bacterial SSU rRNA
Rfam family: Bacterial small subunit ribosomal RNA
Source: RNAcentral